AGCUGCCCGAAUCCCUCUCCUUCUUCUUUGUUUUAUCUCCGCAUUGUGAUAGAACUCCGUACCUAGGCAAAAUCUGUGAGUUUUUUUGUUCUUUUCCCGUACGAUUGAAGAUGCAGCGGUUGUGUUAACACUGCACCUUGUUGUGGCUGUUUUGUAUUUUUUGUAAUUCUGGGCAAACGGCAAGCUUGGUUUGGCGCAAUUGUGAUGCUUCAUUUCUGAUUCUUACAGCACCAAGUGAUUAGGUGUGCAUACUAUUCUUGAACUCGGACAUCGUGGUUGUAGGACCUUAAUUUUUCUUCUCUCAAGUUGGUCAUGGAUUGCGGCCUCUUGCAGCUUCUGGUUUUGAGCUUGUAAUUGUAAGCUUGAAUUGUUGUAGGUUUAAUUGUGGUUGACUGUCUCGUUGACCUUCCUUCGAGAUCCUAUUUGCUCGGUGAGCAAAGGGGAGGAUAUUGGCUAAAUUUAUGGUGGCGCUAGUGCAAGAGUCGGCAUUGCGAUGCAGAAGCUUAUAUUGAUCCCAGGGAACUUUCGAGGUGGAUCCAAGAGCGGCUGAGGAGGUUGUGUUGGGUUGUCCCAUUAUGAGCUCAACAAGAGUUGUUGUCCUCAUGUGUAGAUUAUUGGAAGUGGCGAUGCGUCGCAUGUGAUUGACGUUCCCUAAAUGUAAAUCCGUUGAAGUAGCAUCAACAUUUGCAUUUAACUUCAACUUUGUUAGAGUUUUAGUUGUUUGUUUAGUUCACUGGAGAAGUGCGGUUUUGGUGCCUUGGUGGUAUCUAUCGUUGUGGUAGACCUUGUUGAAGGAUCCACUUGGCUAUGAUCAUUGGUUUUUGCACAAUGAAACUUGAUACAUUGACAUUGUGUUCAAGGCGGUGGAGGCGUGAUCAUCUGAUUGGUUGUCAUCGCUUUGAGUGUUUUUAGGGUUGCAAGAGCAAUCAAAGCCACAUGGAUAGCGGAGUUGUCGGUUGAGUAAAGAAUUUUUUAUUUGCUCACAUGUACGGUGGCUGCUUGCGAUUGAAGACUCUUGAGACUUGACAUGGUUGCGUGUAGUCUGAUAGAAUUGUUACAAGUUGUCACCUAGCGAUUGGAGCUACCAUUUUGGAUCCUUGCAACAAUGUGGCUCAUUGCACAAUAGUGGGUAGCACUGGGGGAACUCAUCGAUUUGACAUUUUCAUUGGUGGCUAAUUUUGGCGACAUAGGAGUGUACACAAAAAAAGGGUACUUGUUAAUGCUUUUUAGAGGCUCUUAAUUCUUUCAACUUUUGAUUGAGUAAUUGUUUAGCAAGAUGUGAUUCGGGCUGCUCAACAUGAGCUGUGCCUUGAGAAUCGUCUGCAAGGAGAAAAAAAAACGAUUAUUGAUGAACAUCCGAUUGUUGUAUUUCCAAGAGUA
Molecule: long non-coding RNA, 1380 nt
Organism: Physcomitrium patens
Lineage: Eukaryota; Viridiplantae; Streptophyta; Bryopsida; Funariales; Funariaceae
Source: RefSeq, a predicted model, not a curated record